AAUCUUGGACAAUGGGCGAAAGCCUGAUCCAGCCAUGACGCGAGUGUGAAUUAGGUCUACGAUGAGUAAAGCAUUUUAGGUUAGGAGAAAGGGCAGUAAGUUAAUACCUUGCUGUUUUGACGUUACCGACAGAAUAAUCACCGGAUAACUUCGUGCCGGCAGCCGCGGUAAUACGAAGGGUGCAAGCCUUAGUCGGAAUGACUGGGCGUAAAACGCGCGUAGGUAGUUUGUUAAGUUGGAAGUGAAAGCCCCGGGAUCCAUCUGGGAACUACUUUCAAAACUUGCAAGCUAGAGUAUAGCAGAUAGUGGUGGAAAUUCCGGUGUAGCGGUGAAAAGCGUAGAUAUAGGAAGGAACACCAGUGGCGAAGGCUACCACCUGGGCUAAUACUGACACUGAGGUGCGAAAGCGUGGGGAGCAAACA
RNAcentral lists this ribosomal RNA (422 nucleotides) under uncultured bacterium. Its description in RNAcentral is "partial 16S ribosomal RNA". It matches the Rfam family "Bacterial small subunit ribosomal RNA", at positions 360 to 774 of the family's 1533-position model. The record is from RNAcentral.